UUUCCAGAGAUGGAUUGGUGCCUUCGGGAACUCUGAGACAGGUGCUGCAUGGCUGUCGUCAGCUCGUGUUGUGAAAUGUUGGGUUAAGUCCCGCAACGAGCGCAACCCUUAUCCUUUGUUGCCAGCGGUCCGGCCGGGAACUCAAAGGAGACUGCCAGUGAUAAACUGGAGGAAGGUGGGGAUGACGUCAAGUCAUCAUGGCCCUUACGAGUAGGGCUACACACGUGCUACAAUGGCGCAUACAAAGAGAAGCGACCUCGCGAGAGCAAGCGGACCUCAUAAAGUGCGUCGUAGUCCGGAUUGGAGUCUGCAACUCGACUCCAUGAAGUCGGAAUCGCUAGUAAUCGUGGAUCAGAAUGCCACGGUGAAUACGUUCCCGGGCCUUGUACACACCGCCCGUCACACCAUGGGAGUGGGUUGCAAAAGAAGUAGGUAGCUUAACCUUCGGGAGGGCGCUUACCACUUUGUGAUUCAUGACUGGGGUGAAGUCGUAACAAGGUAAGCGUAGUGCU
This 512-nucleotide ribosomal RNA is filed under the name uncultured bacterium. RNAcentral's name for it is "bacterial SSU rRNA". It matches the Rfam family "Bacterial small subunit ribosomal RNA", at positions 997 to 1509 of the family's 1533-position model. The record is from RNAcentral.